GCUUGACGCCCCUGCUGCCAUAAAAUCUUGAAGCAAGUUCGAAAUAUUCGUCAUCAUCUCUGAUACUCCUAGUUUGAUGUUAUUCACCCAAUCCCAAAGUGGGGAGCUGUCGGAGAUUUGAUUCUUCGGGGUUGGGGUUGUCGAGCUAUCCACGGAUUCUUCAGGAUCAGCGGAUCUUUCAGGGGAGAGGACGGCUGAUUCCUGAUUCUUGUAGAAAGCCAUGACCUUGUCGUUCUUCAUUAUGGCAUCCCAAACGUUCUUAUCAGAGGCCAGUGAUGCAACAACAUUCUGAGCUUCAGGGCUCCCUUGCAGCAAGGA
Molecule: unclassified non-coding RNA, 318 nt
Filed under: Hevea brasiliensis (rubber tree)
Lineage: Eukaryota; Viridiplantae; Streptophyta; Magnoliopsida; Malpighiales; Euphorbiaceae
Source: RNAcentral